Molecule: ribosomal RNA, 248 nt
Filed under: uncultured bacterium
Lineage: Bacteria
Description: partial 16S ribosomal RNA
Rfam family: Bacterial small subunit ribosomal RNA
Source: RNAcentral
AUACGUAGGGAGCGAGCGUUAUCCGGAUUUACUGGGUGUAAAGGGCGAGUAGGCGGGCUGACAAGUCAGUUGUGAAAACUGGGGGCUUAACCCCCCAGCCUGCAAUUGAAACUGUUGGUCUUGAGUGAUGGAGAGGCAGGCGGAAUUCCCAGUGUAGCGGUGAAAUGCGUAGAUAUUGGGAGGAACACCAGUGGCGAAGGCGGCCUGCUGGACAUUAACUGACGCUGAGGCACGAAAGUGUGGGUAGC